This 1018-nucleotide long non-coding RNA is filed under the name Homo sapiens (human). RNAcentral's name for it is "PREDICTED lncRNA (TCONS_00141161)". The record is from RNAcentral. Lineage: Eukaryota; Metazoa; Chordata; Mammalia; Primates; Hominidae.
UUGAAUUUCAAAAACUCUUACGGUAUUUAAUACAAUGUAUAGGUGCAGCUGACUUGUCUGUUUACAGUAGAUAGGUGUUACUGUUUUAGGGUUUUAAUUAGCGAUCAUGCCCUUUGUAUCUCAUGUCCAUAUGUAUUCUUGUUAGUUUUGUAAGGUAUAACCUAGUUAGGAAUAUGGCUAUGAAGCUCUUGUUCCACUUUAUCUUUUUUGUUGAGACAGAAUCUCACGCACUCUGUUGCCCAGGUUGGAGUGCAGCGGUGCAAUCUCGGCUGACUGCAACCUCUGCCUCCUGAGUUUAAGCAAUUCUCCUGCCUCAGCCUCCCGAGUAGCUGGGAUUACAGGUGCCCACCACCAUGCCUGGCUAAUUUUUGUAUUUUUAGUAGGGAUGGGGUUUCACCAUGUUAGCCAGACUGGUCUGAAACUCCUGACCUAAAAUGAUCCACCCGCCUUGGCCUCCCAAAGUGCUGGGAUUACAGGUGUGAGCCACUGCGCCAUGCCUUGUUCCACUUUAUCUUUCAAGAGUAAGUUUCAUCGUGGAUUAUGGUUAAAGACAAGUGCUGAUUUGGUUUUCCUACCUGAUCACGAGGCCACUCGAUAGAACUAGUAAGCUAUGCCUUGGGCCUGCAGGAUGGCACCUGACUUGAAGAUAGCACCUGACUUGAAGAUGGCACCUGACUAGCAUUUGGACUGGUUUGCAGGCUGAGCACAGGGUUGCUCCAGGUGGGCCCAAAUGCUGAAGAGCCUCAUGUUAGAGUUUUUCACCUCUGCGAUGGAACUGUGGUGGACUCCAGUAUCAUCAUUCCAGGGAGGCAUAGCCGCACCAACUGUGUUCCCAGGUUUCACAUGGAGAAGGGUUUUAGAAAGUGCAGAUAGCCUUGAAACCAUUGGUUUCCUACCACUGUUUAUUUCAGCAUAACUUUUUUUGUGUGGAAUGCUAGCUCUGGAAGAGCAGAAAUAAAUACAGCUUAAGCUUUGAACCAUAUCCUGCUGUACUUUUUCUCAUAAGCUGGAAAUAGAA